This 20-nucleotide microRNA is filed under the name Ciona intestinalis (vase tunicate). RNAcentral describes it as "cin-miR-4143-3p". The record is from miRBase by way of RNAcentral. Lineage: Eukaryota; Metazoa; Chordata; Ascidiacea; Phlebobranchia; Cionidae.
CAUGAAAACACCAAACAUGU